AUACCCUCAAUCAUUCACCAAUUGUAAUUUUUUUUUGCUUGAUCAUGAACCUGUUGUAGUAGGGCAUACUUCAAGCAUUAUCAAGGUACCCUCAAUCAUUCACCAAUUGUAAACAUUUUUUGCUCGAUCAUGCACCUGUUGUAGUCGGGCAUACUUCAAGCAAUAUCAAGUUACUGAUGAUUUGACCAGUGGUCAAUACAUGCAUGAUCUGAAGGACCAAAUUUGUAGUUUAAGUUGGCGACGAUCUGCUGAUAGGUUUUGGUUAAUAAUCCAGAACCGUGCAUGCCUCGUUGUCUUUAAAUUUCUUUAUCUAGUAUAUGCUUAUCUUAAAAUUUAAGUUCUUUAUAUAUGUAGUAGUUUUUUUUUUUCUUCUACUGAUUUAUUUUUGUCCAUUUGUAUGUUCCUAAAAGAUUGUAUGGCAUUAUAAUUAAGGUUUUCAAGUUGCUAUUGUUGU
Long non-coding RNA from Papaver somniferum (opium poppy), 454 nucleotides. RefSeq lists it as uncharacterized. The record is from RefSeq and is a predicted model, not a curated record. The transcript is spliced from 3 exons. Lineage: Eukaryota; Viridiplantae; Streptophyta; Magnoliopsida; Ranunculales; Papaveraceae.